This 3204-nucleotide long non-coding RNA is filed under the name Salmo salar (Atlantic salmon). RNAcentral's name for it is "lncRNA (ENSSSAG00000104979.1)". Lineage: Eukaryota; Metazoa; Chordata; Actinopteri; Salmoniformes; Salmonidae. The record is from RNAcentral.
GUAAAAGUUGUCAAAAUAAUAAAUAGUAAAGUAAAGUACAGAUACCCCAAAAAACGACUUAAGUAGUACUUUAAAGUACUUUUACUUAAGUACUUUACACCUCCGCCUAAUGAACACAGUCCAGGUCAGCGUUUUUUAAUGUUUUGUUAUUUGCCACACACAUUGCAAUUCACCAGAGAGACCACUAGGAAGCGUGUUUUGAGCCUAAGCCACUUUCUUUUCACACAGUCACAUCCAGUAUGACUAAAGCUGUGUUGGAAAAAGAUCAGGACAACGCAUCUGUCUGUUUCUCUGUUCUAUUCCUCCCACCUUACUAUGACUUAUACACCAUAUGACCACUACUACAGAUGAUGACUAAUGGUUGUGUGUGUUUGUGUGUGUGCGUGUGCAUGUGUGUGUGUGCGUGUAUGACUGUAGGCAUGUAUGUGUGUGUAUGUGCAUGCUCACUUUCAUGUGUACGUGUUUGCGUGUGUGUGUGUGUGUGUGUGUGUGUGUGUGUGUGUGUGUGUGUGUGUGUGUAAUACAUCUAGUCAGUAGAGGACCAUAUGGGAAUGCUGUACUGGGCUUUCUGUUCAUUAUUUCCUGAAGAACACAGAGAACUCAUAUAGAAGGCAGGGUAAAGUCAAUAUGAGAGGAUUCUGCCAAGAGUGUCUGAGCUGCAGCCAACUAUCUGAGAGGAGAGGAGACAGAGAAAGCAGGAGUCGAGGCUCCUUCCUCCGGUCCUUGCUGCUCCAAACACCGACAGCUGUGCAGCAGAGAGCCCAGGGUUGCAGACACCUUCCGCGGGCUCGACACUCGGCAGUUAUCUGCUACAAAAACAGGCGACACACAAAAAAAUAAACAUCACCUUAGGCUGAAAGGAGUUUCUCUAACAAACGAAUACAGAAAGAAAAGAACUGACUUUCUCAAUCACGAAUGCACUUCAUGUAAAUAACCCAUCACUCAUCUGCGAUUUCCUCAAGUAAUUUCCCCUCUACCCUUAUCGUUGGCUAGCCGCGGGGCUUUUCUCCGUGUGCAUACCGAAUCAGUCGGAAAUGCCACUGGGUUCACUGCUCCAGCGAAGGUAAAGGGGAGACAUGAUAUUCACCUCAGCCGGGCGGUAGGAUUGUCCCCCGCCCGCCCUGACACCGACCUCAAUGACCAAACCCUUUCACCGGGGCCGUCCCUGCCGCGACCCAUGUGCGCGUAGUGACACGUAGGCUACGAUUUCAGGAAAGUCCACUCUUCUGCAUAACACGACUUGACACAGAAAUGAAGGCUGAUGAAGUUUCAUGGUUUGCAGAAUAUAUGACUAGCCUACAUUUUUGCUGCUCUUAGUUUAGACACCAAAUUUGGUUCAUUGAAUUAGACAGAUGUAUUGGUCUGGAGUAGAUUUUUAAUCCCAUUACAGAAUGCCAUUCAAAUGUCAAUGAGGAGAGAGUUUAAUACUGGCCCAAAUCUCUCUCAAUCUCAUCCUCCAACUCUCCCAAUCGUUCUCUCCGUCAUCUUCUCUCUCCUUCACUGUUACGAAUGGCUGUACAUUUACAGCAAAACUAACAGUUAACCACUGUUAUUCUAUAUUACAGUACAGUACCGUAAAGAGCAAUGCAUUAUGGGGUCUCAUAGGCAUUUCUCUACACUGCUGUAAAAUGUAUUUUACAAUACAAUUUUUACAGUAAAGUACUGUAUUACCUGUUUUGCUGUAUAUUUACAGCAGCAUUCUGUGAAUUAUGGUGCAUUGUUGGACAAUGUUGUGGGCAUUAACAUAUUUUGAUGCUUGCCUUGUAAGUGGCUAUAUUUGUUGCACCCAUUGGUGAGAAUGCUGUACCAGUUGAACUGAUAUAUGGUAUUAGUGCCCUAACAUUUUCAUUUAUAAAGGGGUUAAAUCGGAAUAACACCAGGUCUUAAAACUUUAAUUGGGAACAUAUUAAGCCAUCUUGUUAUGCCCUGUAAUCACAGCCUGUUUGGAAACCUUUGUUAAGGCCUAUAGAAGUGCAAGUGAUUUAAAACACCAAAUAUCUAAAAAUAUGCUGUAAUAUACAAAUACCCUGCAGCCAACCUGCUAGCUCUAAUCCAAUGUAAUUACAGUAAAAUACUAAAAUACCAACGUGAUUACAGUAGCAUUUACUUUCUCACAGUAUAGUAGGCUAAAUUGACAGUAUUGUUUCGUUGCUCUGCAUUUUCCAGUAAUUUAUAGGAAGCUGGUGGCAAGUUACUCUGAAUAUUACAGUAAUGUACUUUGCACUAGCCAGAGAUGGGCAAAGAUACGUCACAUUUUUUACACUACGAAGUUUUACAUUAAUGCUCAAAAUGUAACACAUAUCAGAGUACUUGUUACACUCGGUAGAGUGGGAAUAUGUGUUAUCUGAGGUAGUGUUCAAAUGAACUCUUUAAGUAUUGAUUUAUCACUGAAAAAUUUACUGUGCACCCUCCCUACACAUCUGAUGAAUAUCACUGGAAACCUGUUCGAUCACCAUGCACUGCAAAAUCAUACUGGCUAUGGAUGCAGAGGACAUAAACACAUCAACACGCCAGAGGAUAUACACAUUGGACUUGGGGCUCUGCUGGGAGUUUACGUCAUAUUUGGAUCUUUUACUUCUGGUUUGCCGCUAUAAUCCCCAAAAUGUAACCCAAAAGGUUAAUUGAGGAACCGUUAAAGAGGGGGGGGUUCAAAGAAUUUAUAGGGGUUCCCCCGCAGUUUCAAUUUGAAGAACCCCUAAAAAAUCUUCUAUAGCCUACACUCUCCCCUUCACACCUUCUCCAUCUCUCCGUCAUAGGUCCUCCAUCCUUCCUCAUCCAUCAUUCUCUAUCUCUUCCUCCAUCUCUGCAUUCUCCAUUGGGCAAUAAUGUUCAUGUCUUUACAGUGGAGGAUAACAAGGUGCUUUACCAUCAUGAGACGAGACGAAACAACUGCAAUGGGAUUUCACCUACAGUAUAUUGGUCACUCUCUCUCUCUCUCUGUCUCUGAUAGGAUGAUGGAGGGGGGUUGAUCUGGUAAGGGGGUGUAUAUCAAUUUGCAUACAUUUCCCAAAACUGCCUUUGAACUCUUCUUUUCUCACUGUCCCUUUCUCUUUUGUCACCCUCUCAAUUUCCCAAGUAAGAGUUUUCAUCUGAUGGUAAUUUGGUAAAUUCACAAAUGUUGUCACUUGAGUAGUUAUCAUUUGAGAAUUGAGUCAUAUGUGACAGAUGCAUUGCAUUCAUAUUGUGAAAUUUCCUGAAUAAAUU